This 424-nucleotide ribosomal RNA is filed under the name Verrucomicrobiota bacterium. RNAcentral's name for it is "Verrucomicrobia bacterium partial 16S ribosomal RNA". It matches the Rfam family "Bacterial small subunit ribosomal RNA", at positions 355 to 776 of the family's 1533-position model. The record is from RNAcentral. Lineage: Bacteria; Pseudomonadati; Verrucomicrobiota.
UGAGGAAUAUUGGUCAAUGGGCGAGAGCCUGAACCAGCCAAGUAGCGUGCAGGAUGACGGCCCUAUGGGUUGUAAACUGCUUUUAUGUGGGGAUAAAGUGCGUGACGUGUCAUGCAUUGCAGGUACCACAUGAAUAAGGACCGGCUAAUUCCGUGCCAGCAGCCGCGGUAAUACGGAAGGUCCGGGCGUUAUCCGGAAUUAUUGGGCUUAAAGGGCAUCUAGGCGGUAAGACAAGUUGAAGGUGAAAACCUGUGGCUCAACCAUAGGCUUGCCUACAAAACUGUUGAACUAGAGUACUGGAAAGGUGGGUGGAACUACACGAGUAGAGGUGAAAUUCGUAGAUAUGUGUAGGAAUGCCGAUGAUGAAGAUAACUCACUGGACAGAAACUGACGCUGAAGUGCGAAAGCUAGGGGAGCAAACAGG